AUUGAACGCUGGCGGCAGGCCUAGCACAUGCAAGUCGAACGGUAACAGGAAGAAGCUUGCUUCUUUGCUGACGAGUGGCGGACGGGUGAGUAAUGUCUGGGAAACUGCCUGAUGGAGGGGGAUAACUACUGGAAACGGUAGCUAAUACCGCAUAACGUCGCAAGACCAAAGAGGGGGACCUUCGGGCCUCUUGCCAUCGGAUGUGCCCAGAUGGGAUUAGCUAGUAGGUGGGGUAACGGCUCACCUAGGCGACGAUCCCUAGCUGGUCUGAGAGGAUGACCAGCCACACUGGAACUGAGACACGGUCCAGACUCCUACGGGAGGCAGCAGUGGGGAAUAUUGCACAAUGGGCGCAAGCCUGAUGCAGCCAUGCCACGUGUAUGAAGAAGGCCUUCGGGUUGUAAAGUACUUUCAGCGGGGAGGAAGGGAGUAAAGUUAAUACCUUUGCUCAUUGACGUUACCCGCAGAAGAAGCACCGGCUAACUCCGUG
Molecule: ribosomal RNA, 490 nt
Filed under: uncultured bacterium
Lineage: Bacteria
Description: partial 16S ribosomal RNA
Rfam family: Bacterial small subunit ribosomal RNA
Source: RNAcentral